Molecule: ribosomal RNA, 844 nt
Filed under: uncultured bacterium
Lineage: Bacteria
Description: bacterial SSU rRNA
Rfam family: Bacterial small subunit ribosomal RNA
Source: RNAcentral
CCAGUGGGGCUACCUGCAGUCGAAGCGAAAGCCCCGCAAGGGGUGAGUAGAGUGGCAAACGGGUGAGUAACACGUGGGUGAUCUGCCUCAGAGUGGGGGAUAACGACCCGAAAGGGUCGCUAAUACCGCAUAACAUCCUGCCUUUGGAUAGGUGGAGAUCAAAGUUGGGGAUCCGCAAGGACCUGACGCUUGGAGAGGAGCCCGCGGCCGAUUAGCUAGUUGGUGAGGUAACGGCUCACCAAGGCAACGAUCGGUAUCCGGCCUGAGAGGGCGGACGGACACACUGGGACUGAGACACGGCCCAGACUCCUACGGGAGGCAGCAGUGGGGAAUUGUUCGCAAUGGGCGCAAGCCUGACGACGCAACGCCGCGUGGAGGACGAAGAUUUUCGGAUCGUAAACUCCUUUCGAUCGGGAAGAACAGCUUUCGGGUUAAUAGCCUGGGAGUCUGACGGUACCGAGAGAAGAAGCCCCGGCUAACUCUGUGCCAGCAGCCGCGGUAAUACAGGGGGGGCAAGCGUUGUUCGGAAUUACUGGGCGUAAAGGGCUCGUAGGCGGCCAACUAAGUCCGACGUGAAAUCCCAAAGCUUAACUUUGGAACUGCGUCGGAUACUGGAUGGCUUGAAUUCGGGAGAGGGAUGCAGAAUUCCAGGUGUAGCGGUGAAAUGCGUAGAUAUCUGGAGGAAUACCGGUGGCGAAGGCGGCAUCCUGGACCGACAUUGACGCUGAGGAGCGAAAGCUAGGGGAGCAAACGGGAUUAGAUACCCCGGUAGUCCUAGCCCUAAACGAUGAAUGCUUGGUGUGGCGGGUAUCGAUCCCUGCCGUGCCGAAGCUAACGCAUUAAG